ACAGGGAUUGCCCUAGUAACGGCGAGUGAAGCGGCAACAGCUCAAAUUUGAAAUCUGGCGUCUUUGGCGUCCGAGUUGUAAUUUGCAGAGGGCGCUUUGGCAUUGGCAGCGGUCCAAGUUCCUUGGAACAGGACGUCACAGAGGGUGAGAAUCCCGUACGUGGUCGCUAGCCUUUACCGUGUAAAGCCCCUUCGACGAGUCGAGUUGUUUGGGAAUGCAGCUCUAAAUGGGAGGUAAAUUUCUUCUAAAGCUAAAUACUGGCCAGAGACCGAUAGCGCACAAGUAGAGUGAUCGAAAGAUGAAAAGCACUUUGGAAAGAGAGUUAAAAAGCACGUGAAAUUGUUGAAAGGGAAGCGCUUGCAGCCAGACUUGCCUGUAGUUGCUCAUCCGGGUUUUUACCCGGUGCACUCUUCUAUAGGCAGGCCAGCAUCAGUUUGGGCGGUUGGAUAAAGGUCUCUGUCAUGUACCUCUCUUCGGGGAGAACUUAUAGGGGAGACGACAUGCAACCAGCCUGGACUGAGGUCCGCGCAUCUGCUAGGAUGCUGGCGUAAUGGCUGUAAGCGGCCCGUCUUGAAACACGGACCAAGGAGUCUAACAUCUAUGCGAGUGUUUGGGUGUCAAGCCCGAACGCGUAAUGAAAGUGAACGGAGGUGGGAACCUUUCGGGGUGCACCAUCGACCGAUCCUGAUGUCUUCGGAUGGAUUUGAGUAAGAGCAUAGCUGUUGGGACCCGAAAGAUGGUGAACUAUGCUUGAAUAGGGUGAAGCCAGAGGAAACUCUGGUGGAGGCUCGCAGCGGUUCUGACGUGCAAAUCGAUCGUCAAAUUUGGGCAUAGGGGCGAAAGACUAAUCGAACUAUCUAGUAGCUGGUUCCUGCCGAAGUUUCCCUCAGGAUAGCAGUAACGUUUUCAGUUUUAUGAGGUAAAGCGAAUGAUUAGAGGCCUGGGGGUUGAAACAACCUU
Molecule: ribosomal RNA, 960 nt
Filed under: Phoma herbarum
Lineage: Eukaryota; Fungi; Ascomycota; Dothideomycetes; Pleosporales; Didymellaceae
Also listed under: 4 other names
Description: eukaryotic LSU rRNA
Rfam family: Eukaryotic large subunit ribosomal RNA
Source: RNAcentral